GAUGAACGCUGGCGGCGUGCCUAAUACAUGCAAGUCGAGCGAACGGACGAGAAGCUUGCUUCUCUGAUGUUAGCGGCGGACGGGUGAGUAACACGUGGAUAACCUACCUAUAAGACUGGGAUAACUUCGGGAAACCGGAGCUAAUACCGGAUAAUAUUUUGAACCUCAUGGUUCAAAAGUGAAAGACGGUCUUGCUGUCACUUAUAGAUGGAUCCGCGCUGCAUUAGCUAGUUGGUAAGGUAACGGCUUACCAAGGCAACGAUGCAUAGCCGACCUGAGAGCGAGAUCGGACAGACUGGAACUGAGACACGGCACAGACUCCUACGGGAGGCAGCAGUCGGGACUCUUCCGCAAUGGGCGAGAGCCGAACGGAGCAACGCGGCGUGAGUGAUGAAGGACCUCGGAUCGGAAAGCGCUGUUGUUCGGGGAGAACAUAUGUGUAAGUAACUGUGCACAUCAUGACAGUACCUAAUCAGAAAGCCACGGCUAACUACGU
RNAcentral lists this ribosomal RNA (496 nucleotides) under uncultured bacterium. Its description in RNAcentral is "partial 16S ribosomal RNA". It matches the Rfam family "Bacterial small subunit ribosomal RNA", at positions 28 to 506 of the family's 1533-position model. The record is from RNAcentral.